UAUACAGCGAAACUGCGAACGGCUCAUUAUAUAAGUUAUCGUUUAUUUGAUAGCACCUUACUACUUGGGUAACCGUGGUAAUUCUAGAGCUAAUACAUGCUGAAAAUCCCGACUUCGGAAGGGAUGUGUUUAUUAGAUUCAAAGCCAACGCCCCUCGGGGCUCACUGGUGAUUCAUGAUAACCUCUCGAAUCGCACGGCCUUGCGCCGGCGAUGGUUCAUUCAAAUUUCUUCCCUAUCAACUUUCGAUGUUUGGGUAGUGGCCAAACAUGGUUGCAACGGGUAACGGAGGGUUAGGGCUCGACCCCGGAGAAGGAGCGUGAGAAACGGCUACUACAUCCAAGGAAGGCAGCAGGCGCGCAAAUUACCCAAUCCCGACACGGGGAGGUAGUGACAAUAAAUACCGAUAUAGGGCUCUUUUGGGUCUUAUAAUUGGAAUGAGUACAAUUUAAAUCCCUUAACGAGGAACAAUUGGAGGGCAAGUCUGGUGCCAGCAGCCGCGGUAAUUCCAGCUCCAAUAGCGUAUAUUAAAGUUGUUGUGGUUAAAAAGCCCGUAGUUGAACCUUGGGCCUGGCUGGCCGGUCCGCCUCACCGCGUGCACUGGUCCGGCCGGGCCUUUCCCCCCGCGGAACCCCAUGCCCUUCGCUGGGCGUGGCGGGGAAACGGGACGUUUACUUUGAAAAAAUUAGAGUGCUCCAGGCAGGCCUAUGCUCGAAUACAUUAGCAUGGAAUAAUGAAAUAGGACGCGCGGUUCUAUUUUGUUGGUUUCUAGGACCGCCGUAAUGAUUGAUAGGGACAGUCGGGGGCGUCAGUAUUCAACCGUCAGAGGUGAAAUUCUUGGACCGGUUGAAGACUAACUACUGCGAAAGCAUUCGCCAAGGAUGUUUUCAUUAAUCAGGGACGAAAGCUAGGGGAUCGAAGACGAUCAGAUACCGUCGUAGUCUUAGCCAUAAACUAUGCCGACUAGGGAUCGGGCGAUGUUAUUCUUUGACUCGCUCGGCACCUUACGA
RNAcentral lists this ribosomal RNA (1008 nucleotides) under Ophiocordyceps nuozhaduensis. RNAcentral's name for it is "SSU rRNA". It matches the Rfam family "Eukaryotic small subunit ribosomal RNA", at positions 75 to 1093 of the family's 1831-position model. The record is from RNAcentral. Lineage: Eukaryota; Fungi; Ascomycota; Sordariomycetes; Hypocreales; Ophiocordycipitaceae.